AGGCUAUUAGCUCAAACGGCAGAGCAAUGUGCAUUAUGUACAUGAUGUGGGUUCAAAUCCCGCAUUGCCUA
This 71-nucleotide transfer RNA is filed under the name Spinacia oleracea (spinach). It matches the Rfam family "tRNA". Rfam says of the family: Transfer RNA (tRNA) molecules are approximately 80 nucleotides in length. Their secondary structure includes four short double-helical elements and three loops (D, anti-codon, and T loops). Further hydrogen bonds mediate the characteristic L-shaped molecular structure. tRNAs have two regions of fundamental functional importance: the anti-codon, which is responsible for specific mRNA codon recognition, and the 3' end, to which the tRNAs corresponding amino acid is attached (by aminoacyl-tRNA synthetases). tRNAs cope with the degeneracy of the genetic code in two manners: having more than one tRNA (with a specific anti-codon) for a particular amino acid; and 'wobble' base-pairing, i.e. permitting non-standard base-pairing at the 3rd anti-codon position. Lineage: Eukaryota; Viridiplantae; Streptophyta; Magnoliopsida; Caryophyllales; Amaranthaceae. The record is from Rfam by way of RNAcentral.